AUGUCAACGGGUGGGAUUCGAGAUGAAUUUUCAGAAACCAUCCGAAUCCGACUCCAAACUCAAAAUCCGAACCUGAACCCAAUAGAUUUUAGAAAUUCAUGUCCAAACCCGAACCCGACCAAAAAUCUAAAAUCCGAACUCAAAUCCGAACCCAAAAAUUCCAACCCGAAACAAUUAUUUCUCUUUCAAUAUUUAAAAAUAUAUUAAAUUAAAUUUAAAUUUUUAAAAUACAAAUUGAAAUAUCCGAAAAUUCAUAUCCGAAUUCAUAUCCGUCGGGUUUUUGUUUUUGAUUCGAAUAAAAUUUUAGAUAUUUUAACCGGUUGA
This 324-nucleotide long non-coding RNA is filed under the name Ananas comosus (pineapple). Its description in RNAcentral is "long non-coding RNA (ACOM_LNC019545)". The record is from RNAcentral. Lineage: Eukaryota; Viridiplantae; Streptophyta; Magnoliopsida; Poales; Bromeliaceae.